GUGCUCGCUUCAGCAGCACAUAUGCUGAAAAUUGGAAUGAUACAGAGAAGAUUAGCAUGGCCCCUGUGCAAGGAUGACACGCCAAUCCGUUAAGCAAUCCAUACUAUU
Molecule: small nuclear RNA, 108 nt
Organism: Cebus imitator (Panamanian white-faced capuchin)
Lineage: Eukaryota; Metazoa; Chordata; Mammalia; Primates; Cebidae
Source: Ensembl